UCUUUUAUUUUGAGUUUUAUCAACUGACAAAAUCUUGGAAAUUCAAAUGAAAAAUUCAUCAGCUAAAACCAGAUGGUCUUCCACUAAUGUCAAUGAUUCAGCGAAAGGAGGCGAGAGGGGCUCAGUCUGCAAAGAUGACACAUCUGUCAAACCCUUUCCCGGCUCGUAGAUAAAGCAUGUUCCAAAAGGCCUUCAAAUAUGAUGAGAAAACAUUGGAAAGGACUGAACCAAGACACCAAGAAAGUUGCCAAUUACAACAUUAAAACGUAGACAAGACUAGACCAACCGAAGGCCAAUAAGAACAGUGGAAUGUUCGCUAUUCACUCGUGAGCAGAGCCAACUGCUAACCUGAAACCAACUGGCUCAGUCUGCAUAUUAGAUUCCUUCUAUGCGGAUCAUUUGUGACCAACAAAAAAAAAAACUAUAAUGGUGGUCCCCCAACAUAAUCACUAUUUCAUUCAGGCGGAGUCCGCCUCAGCCUGCGGUUUCCUUGGCAGCAAAGCCUGUUUAUAUAUUUUCCUAUUCUAAUAAAUAAGUUUUGUUUAAAUGUA
Molecule: long non-coding RNA, 551 nt
Organism: Xenopus laevis (African clawed frog)
Lineage: Eukaryota; Metazoa; Chordata; Amphibia; Anura; Pipidae
Exons: 3
Source: RefSeq, a predicted model, not a curated record